GAUGAACGCUGGCGGCGUGCCUAAUACAUGCAAGUCGAGCGAACAGACGAGGAGCUUGCUCCUCUGACGUUAGCGGCGGACGGGUGAGUAACACGUGGAUAACCUACCUAUAAGACUGGGAUAACUUCGGGAAACCGGAGCUAAUACCGGAUAAUAUAUUGAACCGCAUGGUUCAAUAGUGAAAGACGGUUUUGCUGUCACUUAUAGAUGGAUCCGCGCCGCAUGAGCUAGUUGGUAAGGUAACGGCUUACCAAGGCGACGAUGCGUAGCCGACCUGAGAGGGUGAUCGGCCACACUGGAACUGAGACACGGUCCAGACUCCUACGGGAGGCAGCAGUAGGGAAUCUUCCGCAAUGGGCGAAAGCCUGACGGAGCAACGCCGCGUGAGUGAUGAAGGUCUUCGGAUCGUAAAACUCUGUUAUUAGGGAAGAACAAAUGUGUAAGUAACUAUGCACGUCUUGACGGUACCUAAUCAGAAAGCCACGGCUAACUACGUG
RNAcentral lists this ribosomal RNA (497 nucleotides) under uncultured bacterium. Its description in RNAcentral is "partial 16S ribosomal RNA". It matches the Rfam family "Bacterial small subunit ribosomal RNA", at positions 28 to 507 of the family's 1533-position model. The record is from RNAcentral.